Molecule: ribosomal RNA, 477 nt
Filed under: uncultured bacterium
Lineage: Bacteria
Description: partial 16S ribosomal RNA
Rfam family: Bacterial small subunit ribosomal RNA
Source: RNAcentral
GAUUAACGCUGGCGGCGUGCAUAACACAUGCAAGUCGAACGAUGAAACUUUAAUGACCCCUUCGGGGAGAAUUAAAGCGGAUUAGCGGCGAACGGGUGAGUAACGCGUGAGUAACCUGCCUUACACAAGGGGAUAGCCUUUGGAAACGAAGAAUAAUACCCUAUAAAACCAUAAAAGCACAUGCAAUUAUGGUCAAAGUGAUAGCGGUGUAAGAUGGACUUGCGUCUGAUUAGCUAGUUGGUGAGAUAAAAGCCCACCAAGGCAACGAUCAGUAGCCGGCUUGAGAGAGUGUACGGCCACAUUGGGACUGAGACACGGCCCAGACUCCUACGGGAGGCAGCAGUGGGGAAUUUUGCACAAUGGGGGAAACCCUGAUGCAGCGACGCCGCGUGAUUUAGAAGGCCUUCGGGUUGUAAAAAUCUUUUGUAUAGGAAGAAAAUGACAGUACUAUACGAAUAAGGUCCGGCUAAUUACGUG